CUUAUGGAGAGUUUGAUCCUGGCUCAGGAUGAACGCUGGCGGCGUGCCUAAGGUAUGCAAGUCGAGCGAUCUUUGCGAGAUUUUGAUCUCCUGCUUGCAGGAGUGAACUAUCUUGCUUCUUGAUAGCGGCAAACGGCUGAGUAACAAACAGGAACUUACCCUUUAGUGAGGGAUAGCUCGCCGAAAGGCGGAUUAAUACCGCAUAGUCCUCUUGUCUUCGGAUUUUGAGGUAAAGUCUUCGGACGCUAGAGGAGAGGCCUGUUUCUUAUCAGGUAGUUGGUAGGGUAAUUGCCUACCAAGCCUAUGACGAGUAGGGGG
RNAcentral lists this ribosomal RNA (318 nucleotides) under Candidatus Saccharimonadota bacterium. RNAcentral's name for it is "bacterial SSU rRNA". It matches the Rfam family "Bacterial small subunit ribosomal RNA", at positions 1 to 290 of the family's 1533-position model. The record is from RNAcentral. Lineage: Bacteria; Candidatus Saccharimonadota.